RNAcentral lists this ribosomal RNA (235 nucleotides) under uncultured bacterium. RNAcentral describes it as "partial 16S ribosomal RNA". It matches the Rfam family "Bacterial small subunit ribosomal RNA", at positions 103 to 334 of the family's 1533-position model. The record is from RNAcentral.
CGGGUGAGUAAUACGUAGGAAUUUGCCAUGCAGAGCGGGACAACCCGGGGAAACUCGGGCUAAUACCGCAUAGACACUCGAUAGAGGAAAGGUGGCCGACUCCGAAAGGAGGGUCACGCUGGAUGAGAAGCCUACGGGAGAUUAGCUAGUUGGUGGGGUAAAGGCCUACCAAGGCGACGAUCUCUAGCUGGUCUGAGAGGACGAUCAGCCACACUGGGACUGAGAUACGGCCCAG